AAAAAGUGGAGAGAAUGGACAUCGAGGUGAAGAAUCAAGAAGCAUAGAGUCCAUUAGAGAAAAAAAGAAAAGAAAAGAAGAAUGUUUGGAAUUGGAGGAACAACCACAGCCACGACAUGCACAGGCACAUCAGUGAGAUGUCAACCUCUCCUUCCAUUUCGCCGUCGCCGCCAAACUGUAAUACUCAGUUUCAAGAACAACAACAACAACAAACAAAACGAUAUGGAUAGGGUUUUCAAACAAGCGUGGCAAACUGCUAACGAUAAUUUUGAGCGUUUUCUCUUCGAAGCUAAGAAAACUGCCGAACGUAUCGACCGUCGUUAUUCCGUCAAACACCGUCUCUCUUCCGUUGCUUCUGCCGCCGCCGACCGUGCUCGUGAAUUUGAUCGUGAUUUCGAAAUUGGUAUUAAAUACCGUAAUUUCACCUCCGAUUUUGCGUUAAACUGGCCUAAGGUGUUGUGUGGUGUUGGUGUUGGAUACCGGGACAUACCUUCCAUCAGAAGUGUCGGUGCUAAAGAGAUGAUAACAAUAGCAAUUUCGUGUUUUUGUUGUUGUGCUUUUUUGCAGUACAGGAUGCAGCUUAGUAAGUUCAUUGAUAGUCCACUUGGAAGAAGCUUUACGUACUCGCUUCAUUUUCACUGCCGUAUUUCGUGCAUCUGCUCUGUUGCUCUGAUUUGCACAUUUUCUGAGUUCACGUGCUAUAUUGCUUCCCUAAGACAAUUUUCUUCAUCUGGUUUGCAUUCUCUGGCUGGCUCUUUCGGUUCCUGAUUAUUGCGACAUGGGUACUUCCAUUUGCUGGACCUCUUCUAAUUGGGACAUUGGCCAACAGCUUAGUUAUUAAGGGCUCUUGUCCAGCUUGCAAGACGCAGUUUGCAGGUUACAAAAAUCAAAUAGUUCGAUGUUCAAGCUGUGGCAACAUUGUGUGGCAACCUAAAGGUAAAGGAGAUUUCUUUACAAGAGGUGGUAGAAAUAACUCAACAUCUAAGUCAGACCCUAACAUUAUUGAUGUUGACUUUGAGGAGAAAUGAUGAUACAUUAUCGAGUCAGCGAUUCUCGUUCUGGAUUUGACUUUGUAAAACAGAUGGAUAGACAAUGCUCCUAUUCGUUUAUUGUCGCCGGAUUUUCACUUGAUUGAAGUUUGCUCUUACAUUUGUGGUAUAUGAAGCACAUAUAGAGUGGGUUUAAUUGUAAAUCUUUCUUUAUAAUAUGAUGAUAGCAUAGAUGGGAAAGAACAAGAAACAGGAAACAGGAGAAAGAAUAAAAAAAAGUCUAUUCUAAAUGCAUACAGUUUUUGGAGCCAUAUUAAGUUAUGAAAUCAAGAUUUAUGGUAUAUAGGCAGGAAGCAUAAAUUUUGCAUCUGUAUUGUAGAGUCCAACACCCCUCUUCCCCAAAAGCAUUGAGAGACUUUCAAAUUCUCAAGGACUAGCAUUACUCAUUCCCAAUAAUUCAUAUAUUUGAAAAUUAUAUAAUUUUGGAUUGCUUUUACA
This is a non-coding RNA of Cicer arietinum (chickpea), 1487 nucleotides long. The record is from RefSeq and is a predicted model, not a curated record. NCBI's taxonomy places the organism in Eukaryota, Viridiplantae, Streptophyta, Magnoliopsida, Fabales, Fabaceae.